This is a long non-coding RNA of Capra hircus (goat), 3060 nucleotides long. Lineage: Eukaryota; Metazoa; Chordata; Mammalia; Artiodactyla; Bovidae. The record is from Ensembl.
CCUUGUCCUCCAUGCAUUUGGCAGCAUCACCAGGAGACAUUUGGGGUUGCCAUGCUUAGAUUGGCGGGGGCACUACUGGCAUCUAGUGAGUCAUGCCCCAAAGAUGCAGCUAAGCCUCCUCCAUGGCACAAGUUAGCCUCAUAACAAAGAGCCAUUCAGUCCCAAAUGUCACUAGUGCCAAGGGUGAGAAACUCUGCUCCAAGCUCUUAGUUGACUCUGCUGCACACCCAGCCUUGGGCCAGCUGAGCUGUGGGGAUGACAGGAAAGGGGGGCUGAUUCAGGCUGAGGCAGAGCUGGGAGGCCACAGGACAGCCGUCACAGGUAGGAGCUGUCUGGGCAGGAUGACUGGGAAUUCACCCAGAGGGAGGACCCAGAAGGAGCAGAAAGAAGACUAUGGUGCAGGAAUUUCUUCUGGCAGCCCUCGUGUCAGUAUCUUCAGAUCUCCUACUGCAGAGAAUUCUUUUGCAAAGACUUUUAUCUCCCCGAAGUGGACUCUUCAGUCUGGAAGCAUUAAAACAGGGAUUGCAGGCAAACUCCGGCUUUCCACGAAAAGAGCCCUGGAAAGAUGGGACCCUUUUGUCUGACUUUACAGCAAAUUUGGAAGCUGACUGAGCCUUACUCCUUUGGUGGAAAGAGUCUUGGGUGGCUGGUGCAGCCAGGACUACUACAGGGUUCAAACUUAUAAAGUUUGCGAGUUGGUAGCCUUCUUCUUCCUUCUUUUUCUUCUGCUUUUUCUUUUCCUCUUCUUCUCUCCCUCUUUUGCCUCUCCUUCCCUUCCUCUCCUCCUCCUCCUCUUCAUCAAUCUCCUUCUUCUUUCAGCAUUUUAUAAUGAGCAUUUUCCAACCUACAGCAAACCUUACUGAAUACUUAUAUACCUACCAUCCAGCCUCUACUGUUAAUGUUUUUGCUACAUUUGCUUUUUCAGAUUGCUCUCAACUUACCUUUAUUUUAUCAUAUCGAUCUACUCAUCCACCCUUCCACCUAUCCAUUAAUUUCUCUAAUUUUUAAGGAUUUCAGGUUAAAUUUGCAGUAUCAAUGUACCCGCCCCUAAAUGUUUCAGCGUUCAUGUCAUCACCUAUAGUUCAGUAUUUGUUUAUAGGAUUUUUUUCUUUGAAAUAAAACUAAUAUACAGUGAAGUGUACAGUUCUUAAGUGUACUUGAGUUUUGGUAAAUGAUUACCUUGUGUAGCCCAGAUUCCUAUAAAGAUUCUGCACAUACACAUCACCUCAGAAAGUUCCCUUGUCAGAUCAGCCUCUGCUCUUCUCAAGGGAACUACUCUUCUAGUUAUCUUCUACUAUGAGUUGAUUUUGUCUCUUCUUGGACUUCGUAUACUUGGAAUCUCACAAUCUGCACUCUUUUGGGUGAGACUUCUAUCAUUCAGAAUAAGAUCUGUGAGACUCACCCAUGGUGUUGUGGGUACAUUAUCCACUCCUUUUCUUGCCGAGUAUGACUCUAUUGUGUGAACAUAUCCUGUAUAUUAUUCAUUCUCCUAUCGAUGGACACUUGGAUGGCUUCCAAUUUAGAAUUAUUAUGAAUAAAGCUGCUCUGAAUACUAUUGUACAAGUCCUUUUGUGUACAAAUAUUUCCAUAUCUUUUGUGUAAAUACCUAGCAAUGGAAUUAUUGGGUUGUAGAGUAUAUGUAUAUUUACAGGAAGCUGAUAGGCCUUUUCCUAAAGUAAUUGUACCAUUUUAUUGGAGAAGGAAAUGGCAACCCACUCCAGUAUUCUUGCCUGGAGAAUCCCAGGGAAGGGGGAGCCUGGUGGGCUGCCGUCUACGGGGUUGCACAGAGUUGGACACGACUGAAAUGACUGACUUAGCAGCAGCAGCAGCAGCAACAUAGUCUUACUAACAUUGUAUGAGAAUUCUAGUUGUUCCACAAUCUUGCCAAAAUAUGGUGUUACCAGUCACUUUAAAUGUAACUCUUUGGGCAAGUAUGUAGAAGGAUCUAAUUGUGGUUUUCAUUUGUAUUUUUUCUGAUACCAGUGAUGCUAAAUGCCUUUUCAUCCACUUUUUGGUCAUACAGAGGUCUUAUUUUGUAAAGUAAUCAUUCACAUCUUUUGUCAAUUUUUGAAUGGGUUGUUUGCCUUUUUAUAAUUGGUUGUAGAGGUUCUUUAUAUUCAGGACACCAGCAGUCCUUUGUCAGAUAUAUGUUUUAAAAAUAUUUUCUUUCAAUCUGUAGCUUGCUGAAGCAUUUCCUUAGUGACACCUUAUGAUAAGCAGCUUUUAGUUUUGAUGAAAUAUAAUUUGUUAUCUUUUCUUUUGUGUCAUUUUCUGUAAAGUAACAAAUUUCUGAUUAUUUUGAAAUCUCUUCUCCUUUGUCUUCCUCUAAAAGCUUCACUGUUUCAUUUUUCAAAAUUGUGUAUGUGAUCAGUUUUGAAAUGGUUUCUAUGUUUGGUGUGAGGCAGUGGUUGAAGUCCAUUUUUUUUUCCAGGUAGAUAUCUAGUUAGCCUGGAAUCAUUUGUUAAAAAGAUCUAUGUAUCUCUAUUGAACUGCUUUGUCACCUUUGACAAAAACUAAAUACUUGUAAAAUGUGGGUCUAAUGCUGGACUCCCUAUUCUGGGCUCUCCACUGGUGAAGAUGAAUUGAGAUUUAUUAUUGUUAUUUAUUUAUUUAUUUAUUUUUGCAUAUGCACAUCCAAAUGUUUCAGUUCCAUUUGUUGAAAAGGCUGUCCAUUUUCCACUGAAUUGCUUUUGUAUAUUUGUUUAAAAUCAAUUGACCAUGUAUGUAUGGGUCUAUUUCUUGAUGGUCUUUCCUUAUCUUUGAUGCAAAUGUGUAUCCUUUUGCCAGUAUAGUAAGUCUUGAUAUCAAGUAGUAGGCAUAUUUUUUUUUUUUUCCAAAAAUUGCUUUGAAUAGUCCAAGUCUUUUUCAAUUCUGUUUAAAUUGGACUCAGCAUGUCAGUUUCUGAGAAAAAAGAAAACCUGCUGAAAUUCUGACUGGGAAUCAUAUUUAUAGAUCAGUUUAGGGGGACAUGAACAUGAUAGGCCUCCAUUUGUCUUCUUUUUCUUAGAGUUUUCUAUAGCUUUUAAUGUACAGAACUUGCACAUCUUUUGAAAAUUUACU